RNAcentral lists this ribosomal RNA (398 nucleotides) under uncultured bacterium. RNAcentral describes it as "bacterial SSU rRNA". It matches the Rfam family "Bacterial small subunit ribosomal RNA", at positions 30 to 430 of the family's 1533-position model. The record is from RNAcentral.
AUUGAACGCUGGCGGAAUGCUUUACACAUGCAAGUCGAACGGCAGCACGGGGCAACCUGGUGGCGAGUGGCGAACGGGUGAGUAAUACAUCGGAACGUGCCCAAUCGUGGGGGAUAACGUAGCGAAAGUUACGCUAAUACCGCAUACGAUCUACGGAUGAAAGCGGGGGAUCGCAAGACCUCGCGCGAAUGGAGCGGCCGAUGUCAGAUUAGGUAGUUGGUGGGGUAAAGGCUCACCAAGCCAACGAUCUGUAGCUGGUCUGAGAGGACGACCAGCCACACUGGAACUGAGACACGGUCCAGACUCCUACGGGAGGCAGCAGUGGGGAAUUUUGGACAAUGGGCGCAAGCCUGAUCCAGCCAUUCCGCGUGCAGGAUGAAGGCCUUCGGGUUGUAAAC